Molecule: ribosomal RNA, 411 nt
Filed under: uncultured soil bacterium
Lineage: Bacteria
Description: bacterial SSU rRNA
Rfam family: Bacterial small subunit ribosomal RNA
Source: RNAcentral
AGGACGAACGCUGGCGGCGUGCUUAACACAUGCAAGUCGAGCGGUAAGGCCUUUCGGGGUACACGAGCGGCGAACGGGUGAGUAACACGUGGGUGAUCUGCCCUGCACUCUGGGAUAAGCCUGGGAAACUGGGUCUAAUACCGGAUAUGACCUGCUCUCGCAUGGGGGUGGGUGGAAAGAUUUAUCGGUGCAGGAUGGGCCCGCGGCCUAUCAGCUUGGUUGGUGGGGUAAUGGCCUACCAAGGCGACGACGGGUAGCCGACCUGAGAGGUGACCGGCCACACUGGGACUGAGACACGGCCCAGACGUCCGUACGGGAGGCAGCGAAGGUGGGGAAUAAGUUGCAACGAAAGUGGGACGAAAGCCUGAUGACAGCGACGCCGCGUAGAGGAUGGAAGGUCCUUACGGGUUA